ACGUAGGCACCAAGCGUUGUCCGGAUUUAUUGGGCGUAAAGAGCUCGUAGGCGGUUCAGUAAGUCGGGUGUGAAAACUCUGGGCUCAACCCAGAGAGGCCACCCGAUACUGCUGUGACUUGAGUACGGUAGGGGAGUGGGGAAUUCCUGGUGUAGCGGUGAAAUGCGCAGAUAUCAGGAGGAACACCGGUGGCGAAGGCGGCUUCCUGGACCGACACUGAUGCUGAGGCGCGAAAGCUAGGGGAGCAAACGGGA
RNAcentral lists this ribosomal RNA (254 nucleotides) under uncultured prokaryote. Its description in RNAcentral is "partial 16S ribosomal RNA". It matches the Rfam family "Bacterial small subunit ribosomal RNA", at positions 525 to 777 of the family's 1533-position model. The record is from RNAcentral.